AUUGAACGCUGGCGGCAGGCCUAACACAUGCAAGGCGAACGGUAACAGGAAACAGCUUGCUGUUUCGCUGACGAGUGGCGGACGGGUGAGUAAUGUCUGGGAAACUGCCUGAUGGAGGGGGAUAACUACUGGAAACGGUAGCUAAUACCGCAUAACGUCGCAAGACCAAAGAGGGGGACCUUCGGGCCUCUUGCCAUCGGAUGUGCCCAGAUGGGAUUAGCUAGUAGGUGGGGUAACGGCUCACCUAGGCGACGAUCCCUAGCUGGUCUGAGAGGAUGACCAGCCACACUGGAACUGAGACACGGUCCAGACUCCUACGGGAGGCAGCAGUGGGGAAUAUUGCACAAUGGGCGCAAGCCUGAUGCAGCCAUGCCGCGUGUAUGAAGAAGGCCUUCGGGUUGUAAAGUACUUUCAGCGGGGAGGAAGGGAGUAAAGUUAAUACCUUUACUCAUUGACGUUACCCGCAGAAGAAGCACCGGCUAACUCCGU
This 489-nucleotide ribosomal RNA is filed under the name uncultured bacterium. RNAcentral's name for it is "partial 16S ribosomal RNA". It matches the Rfam family "Bacterial small subunit ribosomal RNA", at positions 30 to 506 of the family's 1533-position model. The record is from RNAcentral.